GUGUCAGCCGCCGCGGUAAUACGGAGGGUGCGAGCGUUGUCCGGAAUCACUGGGCGUAAAGGGCGCGUAGGCGGCUCUGUAAGUCGGAUGUGAAAUCCCGGGGCUCAACUCCGGGGCUGCAUCCGAGACUGCAAGGCUGGAGCGUGGUAGGGGCGAGCGGAAUUCCCGGUGUAGCGGUGGAAUGCGUAGAUAUCGGGAAGAACACCAGUGGCGAAGGCGGCUCGCUGGGCUACUGCUGACGCUGAGGCGCGAAAGCGUGGGGAGCAAACAGGAUUAGAAACCCCUGUAGUCC
Molecule: ribosomal RNA, 292 nt
Filed under: uncultured bacterium
Lineage: Bacteria
Description: partial 16S ribosomal RNA
Rfam family: Bacterial small subunit ribosomal RNA
Source: RNAcentral